Molecule: ribosomal RNA, 429 nt
Filed under: Chloroflexota bacterium
Lineage: Bacteria; Bacillati; Chloroflexota
Description: Chloroflexi bacterium partial 16S ribosomal RNA
Rfam family: Bacterial small subunit ribosomal RNA
Source: RNAcentral
UGGGGAAUAUUGCACAAUGGGCGCAAGCCUGAUGCAGCCAUGCCGCGUGUGUGAAGAAGGCCUUCGGGUUGUAAAGCACUUUCAGCGGGGAGGAAGGCGUUAAGGUUAAUAACCUUGGCAAUUGACGUUACCGACAGAAGAAGCACCGGCUAACUCCGUGCCAGCAGCCGCGGUAAUACGGAGGGUGCAAGCGUUAAUCGGAAUUACUGGGCGUAAAGCGCACGCAGGCGGUUGAUUGAGUCAGAUGUGAAAUCCCCGGGCUUAACCCGGGAAUUGCAUCUGAUACUGGUCAGCUAGAGUCUUGUAGAGGGGGGUAGAAUUCCAUGUGUAGCGGUGAAAUGCGUAGGGAUGUAGAGGAAUACCGGUGGCGAAGGCGGCCCCCUGGACAAAGACUGACGCUCAGGUGCGAAAGCGUGGGGAGCAAACAGG